UGUGCGAGCUGCAGGGUGUGGUGGAACGCGCUUAGGACGCCGACCGACAAGCGGCCGUAGAUCUGCUCCAGGAUCAUCUCCGUACAGAACGGAGUCUAGACCAAAGGUACCGAAUGGACCAAAUGCAGGAUGUGACGUGACGAGGUACGACCCCUAAACACCAGGUGACAACACGAAACAAAGCCAAGGGGCACUGCGUGAAAAGCCCUGCACAUGGCCUCUUGCUCUACAACACUGCAGGGCUUUGUGUCAGCUUGGACACCUCAGCACCAAAGUGUGAGAACACAGGCAGAAAAUGCUACUGACAUGAAGGAGUGCGAGUGUCCUGUGAGGUCCCCUGCCAAGAACUCGGGAGACGUGACAAACAAGGAAGGAAGCGAGAGAGAUCAAAGACGAAGCGAAGGAACACAAGAACGUGUUCUCUCCCUUCUUAUAUCUGCGGCACAGGGAUCAGGAUCACCGAGAGCUACACCAACAGCCGUUUUAUGUAGAGCCCCUGACUGGAAACAAAGGACCCAAUCCUGCAUUUGUCUUUUAUGUUUUCCCUUGAUGUCCACUUACCACAUUUGUAUGACUUUGUUCUAAAAACCAGUCACAAGUCUUUGUACAAUGUCUCUUUAUCCUUUAGAGUUAAACAGGCUGUUUCUGUUACUGUGCCUUUAGGACAAAUAUAAGAUAAAUGAGCGCUAUUCUAAUUGGCUGCCCUGUAUUGUGCCUCAAUUAAAAAGCACUCAGAGCUGAAAUGCGCCUGAAAAUUACAACACUAAACUACUGCAGGCUGAACAGGCAGAGAUAUGUAAAUAUUGUUCUCAUAACCUCGAAGAAACAGUGAGUGCAUUUACAUGCACAUAAUAAUCCAUAAUCAGAGAUCUCCAGUUAUUGGAUUAUUCGAGUUGUCAUGUGAACAGCACACUCCACAUAUGGCCUAGAGAUCAGAUUAAGAAAUGUGAUUAAGAUCUGGAUUUUGGCUCAGUAAUCUGAUUUCUCAGUGCAUGUAUACCCUUACUCUAAUUUCUUUCACAUUUCUGAGUCUGCGCAUGCAUUGCAAACGUAACAAGACAGAAUGUAGAGUUGUCCCGGUAGCGGCUAGCAGAAUUAAACGCAGCACCCGCUCGUAGAAACAAAAACAAAAAAACCCAGCUUUUUACCGUCAUUGCAUCAACAUAGACAAAGCUGCAAAAAAGGGCAGCAUUAUGCACUAUUAAUAAUCAUAAAAAGAUGAAGAUUCAUAUUUGCCAGUAAAGUGAGUCUAUGUUUAUAAGUACUGGUUUUAACAAACUAAUAAUAUCACCUUUUGCAAUCUCUCCAACAGACUGAGAAUGAAAGGUAAACACAACCCCUCUAUAGGAGCUUCAGGUUAAUGGUAGAAUAGUAAAUUGAAGAUGUAUUGAUAUAUUAAGCAAGAAGCUGAUGGAACGUAGAGGGAACUCAGACUAUACACCAAGCCUGACAGUAAUGAACUACCAAAGGUUUCUCCAAAUAACGACCUCUAAUGUUUUGGGUUAAAUGCAUCUCUUAAAAUUAUCCUUUUGUAUCUGAACUAGUCAUGCAUCCUCAUGGGACAUCAGAUGUGGAUAACAUGCAUAUUUCCUAGUUUAUCAUCAUCAUCCAAAUGUUCUUUUAAAGAGGAAAAACAAUAACAUUGUUCAUCUUCAUCCCCCUACCAGCCAAGAUAGCUACAAACCUGGCGUUUCCCUUUCAAAUACAAAUUACUAAAUGCUAAAUGCUAUGAGAUUAAAAUACUGGAAUACCAGCUGAGUGACUCAGAGCUACUGGACUGUUUUGAUAAUCAAACUUUGGAUAAAUUGGGAAUGUGGAACUGUCAAUUCAAUCGGAGAAGAAAAUACCCAUAGCCACCUUGCAGCCUGUUGGCAGAAGCAUAUUUUGACUGGAAGACAUUCAGGAGGUAGGAAAUGAUUAAUUAGCGAUUUCUGGUGAGCCUCAAAUGAUUACCUGUUAUUUGAGGACUACAGCUUGUAGUGUGCACUAGGUAAACACUGCCCACUGAGAUUUAGAUACCGACCUCGUCAUCCAGUUAGAAUCAUUUAUACACUAUGAAGACUGAGGUUGCUGCUCUGAAACUGAUCUGGAGAUCCUGGAGGACUCUGCGUGUCCAAUGAAGAAAA
This is a non-coding RNA of Electrophorus electricus (electric eel), 2126 nucleotides long. Lineage: Eukaryota; Metazoa; Chordata; Actinopteri; Gymnotiformes; Gymnotidae. The record is from RefSeq and is a predicted model, not a curated record.